UACGAAGGGGGCUAGCGUUGCUCGGAAUCACUGGGCGUAAAGCGCACGUAGGCGGCUUACUAAGUCAGGGGUGAAAUCCUGGAGCUCAACUCCAGAACUGCCUUUGAUACUGGUGAGCUUGAGUCCGGAAGAGGUGAGUGGAACUGCGAGUGUAGAGGUGAAAUUCGUAGAUAUCGAGAGGAACACCGGUGGCGAAGGCGGCGAUCUGGACGAUGACUGACGCUGAGACGCGAAAGCGUGGGGAGCAAACAGG
RNAcentral lists this ribosomal RNA (253 nucleotides) under uncultured bacterium. Its description in RNAcentral is "partial 16S ribosomal RNA". It matches the Rfam family "Bacterial small subunit ribosomal RNA", at positions 524 to 776 of the family's 1533-position model. The record is from RNAcentral.